Molecule: ribosomal RNA, 434 nt
Filed under: uncultured bacterium
Lineage: Bacteria
Description: partial 16S ribosomal RNA
Rfam family: Bacterial small subunit ribosomal RNA
Source: RNAcentral
AGCGAACGCUGGCGGCAGGCCUAACACAUGCAAGUCGAACGAACCUUUCGGGGUUAGUGGCGGACGGGUGAGUAACACGUGGGAACGUGCCUUUAGGUUCGGAAUAACUCAGGGAAACUUGUGCUAAUACCGAAUGUGCCCUUCGGGGGAAAGAUUUAUCGCCUUUAGAGCGGCCCGCGUCUGAUUAGCUAGUUGGUUGAGGUAAUGGCUCACCAAGGCGACGAUCAGUAGCUGGUCUGAGAGGAUGAUCAGCCACAUUGGGACUGAGACACGGCCCAAACACCUAGGGGGGGGGGGAGGGGGGAAUUUGGAAAAGGGGGAAAAGGCGGGACGAACCAUGCCCGGGGGAAAAAGAAGGUUUUAGGAAUAAAAAAUUUUUCCCCCGGGGAAAAAAAAGAGGGGACCCGGGAAAAAAGCCCCGGAAAACUUUGGGC